GUGUCAGCAGCCGCGGUAAUACGGGGGGAGCGAGCGUUGUCCGGAAUCACUGGGCGUAAAGGGUGUGUAGGCGUCCCGGUAAGUCUCUGGUGAAAGCCUUCCGCUCAACGGAAGAAUUGCCAGAGAUACUGUCGGGAUUGAGUCCGGGAGAGGGGAGCGGAAUUCCUGGUGUAGCGGUGAAAUGCGUAGAUAUCAGGAAGAACGCCAGAGGCGAAGGCGGCUCCCUGGCCCGGUACUGACGCUGAGGCACGAAAGCGUGGGGAGCGAACGGGAUUAGAUACCCCGGUAGUCCUGGCCGUAAACGAUGGAUGCUAGAUGUGGGCGGGGAGACCCGUCCGUGUCGCAAGCUAACGCGUUAAGCAUCCCGCCUGGGGAGUACGGCCGCAAGGUUGAAACUUAAAUGAAUUGACGGGG
Molecule: ribosomal RNA, 414 nt
Filed under: uncultured prokaryote
Description: bacterial SSU rRNA
Rfam family: Bacterial small subunit ribosomal RNA
Source: RNAcentral